RNAcentral lists this long non-coding RNA (352 nucleotides) under Homo sapiens (human). RNAcentral's name for it is "non-protein coding lnc-ZNF248-1:3". Lineage: Eukaryota; Metazoa; Chordata; Mammalia; Primates; Hominidae. The record is from RNAcentral.
AAAACACCCAUCCAUCUUAUAACAGGGCCAAAGAAACUUUUUCCCAUAGACGAGUGUGUAACCAGUUGGUGGGCAGCAGUUUUUAGGAAGCUGAAUCUCAAAGGUCCGUAGCAGGCCAGAUCUCGCAUGACCACCCCUGUGUUCUUCUCCCGUAACUGUACAUUCAGCUUCCCCUGCACUUUCCCAAGAGCAACAGAAAAAAAGCAAAUGCCAGGUGAGUUGUUUAUUCAUUUCUCAUGUUUCCAUUGCAUAAAAUGAUAAAAGAUUAACAUGAUAAAAAUUAUCAAGGAAUUUAUAGUUAACAGAUCUAAAAUAGGGAAAAGUCAACAUAUUAAUUAUAAAGAUAUCAAGA